CUGACCGGCGGUUACUAGCAACUCCGGCUUCAUGUAGGCGAGUUGCAGCCUACAAUCCGAACUGAGACCGGCUUUUAGGGAUUGGCUCCACCUCGCGGUUUCGCAACCCGUUGUACCGGCCAAUUGUAGCGUGGGUGUAGCCCAGGACAUAAGGGCCAUGCUGACUUGACGUCAUCCCCACCUUCCUCCGAGUUUCUCUCGGCAGUCCCGUGUGAGUGAUACAACACACGGUAGGGGUUGCGCUCGUUGCGGGACUUAACCCAACAUCUCCCGACACGAGCUGACGACAGCCAUGCAACACCUGUGGCCAGGUCCCUUGCGGGAAGACAACGUUUCCGCCGCUGUCCUGGUCAUGUCAAGUCCUGGUAA
Molecule: ribosomal RNA, 369 nt
Filed under: uncultured bacterium
Lineage: Bacteria
Description: partial 16S ribosomal RNA
Source: RNAcentral